GAUGAAGAACGUAGCGAAAUGCGAUACUUGGUGUGAAUUGCAGAAUCCCGUGAACCAUCGAGUCUUUGAACGCAAGUUGCGCCUCAAGCCAUUAGGUUGAGGGCACGUCUGCCUGGGCGUCACAUAUCGUUGCCUGAUGCCAGUUUCCUCGUGAUGGGUGACUGUGCAGGGCGAAUGAUGGCUUCCCGUGAGCAUUGUUGCCUCAUGGUUGGUUGAAAAUUGAGUCCUUGGUAGGGAGCGCCGUGAUAGAUGGUGGUUGAGUGACGAACGAGACCCAAUCAUGUGAGACCCCUACCGAAUUUGGCCUUCAUGACCCACAUGCGUCUUUGGAACGCUCAUGACGAGACCUCAGGUCAGGCGGGGCAACCCGCUGAGUUUAAGCAUAUCAAUAAGCGGAGGA
This 400-nucleotide unclassified non-coding RNA is filed under the name soil metagenome. RNAcentral describes it as "partial contains 5.8S ribosomal RNA, internal transcribed spacer 2, and large subunit ribosomal RNA". The stretch from base 1 to 122 matches the Rfam family "5.8S ribosomal RNA", at positions 35 to 154 of the family's 154-position model. The record is from RNAcentral.